RNAcentral lists this ribosomal RNA (2979 nucleotides) under human oral metagenome. Its description in RNAcentral is "bacterial LSU rRNA". It matches the Rfam family "Bacterial large subunit ribosomal RNA". The record is from RNAcentral.
AAAGGUACUCAAGGGCGCUAAAUGGAUGCCUAGACGUAUAUUACCGAUGAAGGACGUGGAAGACUGCGAUAAGCUUCGGGAAGCUGUCAACAAGCUUUGAUCCGGAGAUCUCCGAAUGGGGAAACCCAGCAUGAGUCAUGUCAUGUUGCCACUUGCUGAACACAUAGGCAAGCGAGCGGGAACCAUCUGAACUGAAACAUCUUAGUAGGAUGAGGAAGAGAAAGUAAAUAACGAUUGCGAAAGUAGUGGCGAGCGAAAUCGCAACAGCCCAAACCUUUUAAGUUUUUGCCUAUUAGUUUAGGCAAAUAAGUUGAUAGACGAAUACUUAUAAGGGGUUGUGAUAUUACAUAUGACCAAGUCAGAGAAUUUGAUUCAUUCAAAUAAUCUGAUUUGCGAUAACUGGCUAUCAACAGUUAGUAAGGUAAGAAAUCGGCGUGGUUAGUAGAAUAGUUUGAAUGACUAGCCAAAGAACGUGAAAGCCGUGUAUAUGAAAACGACGCUGACCUUAUGUAUGUUUUAUCGAGUAGGACGGGGCACGAGAAACCCUGUUUGAAUCUGGCUGGACCACCAGCCAAGGCUAAAUAUAAUAUACGAUCGAUAGUGAACUAGUACAGUGAUGGAAAGGUGAAAAGAACCCCGGGAGGGGAGUGAAAUAGAUCCUGAAAUUUAGUGCCUACAAGGAGUCGGAGCCGGCUUGUCCGGUGACGGCGUGCUUUUUGUAGAACGAUCCAGCGAGUUAAUUUUUACAGCGAGGUUAAGUCAAUUGACGGAGCCAUAGUGAAAGCGAGCCUGAAUAGGGCGAUUAAGUUGUAAGGAUUAGACCCGAAACCGGGUGACCUAACCAUGAGCAGGUUGAAGCCACUGUAACAGGUGGUGGAGGACCGAACCAGGAUACGCAGCAAAGUGUUUGGAUGACUUGUGGUUAGCGGUGAAAUGCCAAUCGAACUCGGAGAUAGCUGGUUCUCCUCGAAAUAGCUUUAGGGCUAGCGUCGUGUUAGUAGCACAUGGGGGUAGAGCUCUGUAAAGGACUGGGGCGGGCAACUGUACCCACCCUUAACAAACUACGAAUACCAUGUGUGUAAUCACGGCAGUUAGAACAUCGGUGCUAAGAUCGGUGCUCAAAAGGGAAACAGCCCAGACCAUCAUCUAAGGUCCCUAAAUUAACGUUCAGUGGGAAACAAGGUGAGAUUUCUUAAACAGCUAGGAUGUUGGCUUAGAAGCAGCCAUUCAUUUAAAGAGUGCGUAACAGCUCACUAGUCAAGAGAUCUUGCGUGGAAAAUGUAACGGGGCUAAAACGUUAUACCGAAGAUAUGGAUAACCAUAAGAGAGGUGAGAAUCCUCUCGGCCGUAAGAGCAAGGUUUCCUGAGCCAUGGUAAUCAUCUCAGGGUUAGUCGGGCCUAAGCCGAGGCGCAGAGCGUAGGCGAUGGACAUCAGGUUAAUAUUCCUGAACCGGUUAAGUUUUGUACACUGUUCACGGGGAAGUAAUCGAAGCGGAUUCAUGGUUUAUCCGUCCAACCGAGCGGGAACGCAAAGGGAGUGAAAGUGAUUCUUCGGAGUCGCGAUUUUGGUGAAAGCCCUGGCUAGAAAAGCAGGUGUACGCGUGGACUUAGCCGCCCGUACCGCAAACCAACACAGGUGCUCGAGUCGAGUAGACUCAGGCUUACGAGCGAACCUUCGCUAAGGAACUCGGCAAUACAGCGACCGUAACUUCGGGAUAAGGUCUGCCCCCACUUCGGUGGAUAUCAGCCGCGUUCACUCAGUGAAUAUUAGGUUAAAGAGUACAUUUUUAAUCACAAAACGAAUUUUCUGAGAUAGAGCAAACGAAUUGUUCUUUUGAACGCGAACCUCUGGCAUCUAACGAUGUGGGGGCCGCAGCAAAAGAGCCCACGGAACUGUUUAUCAAAAACACAGGUCUCUGCUAACACGAAAGUGGAUGUAUAGGGGCUGACUCCUGCCCAAUGCUGGAAGGUUAAGGGGAGCGCUUCACGGUGCGAACUGAAGCCCUAGUCAAUGGCGGCGGUAACUAUAACCGUCCUAAGGUAGCGAAAUUCCUUGUCAGGUAAGUUCUGACCCGCACGAAUGGAGUAAUCAUGUGGGCACUGUCUCAGCGAAGGACUCGGUGAAAGUGCAUUGGCGGUAAAGAUGCCGUCUGUCCGUACCAGGACGAAAAGACCCCAUGGAGCUUUACUACAGCUUUACAUUGAACAUGGUUUCAACAUGUGUAGCAUAGGUGGGAGACUUUGAAGCAGAUACGCCAGUAUUUGUGGAGUCACCAAGUGAAAUACCACCCUUGUUGUGAUUGUGUUCUCACGCUGACCGUUAUCCGGUUAGCGGACCGUGUAUGGUGGGUAGUUUAACUGGGGCGGUUGCCUCCUAAAGAGUAGCGGAGGCGUUCAAAGGUUGGCUAACUUCGGAUGGAAAUCGAAGUGAUAGUGUAUGCGCAUAAGCCAGCUUGACUGUGAGGAGUACAUUCCAAUCAGAGACGAAAGUCGGAGCAAGUGAUCCGCUGUACGUACAUUUGUACAUGAAUGUGGGAUCGACAGCGCAAACGGAUAAAAGUUACCCUGGGGAUAACAGGCUUAUAGCGCCCAAUAGUUCACAUAGACGGCGCUGUUUGGCACCUCGAUGUCGGCUCAUCACAUCCUGGAGGGGGAGCACCUUCCAAGGGUUCGGCUGUUCGCCGAUUAAAGUGGUACGCGAGCUGGGUUCAGGCAUAUUAAGCGCGAAACUAACCUCAAGAUAAGGUUUCCCUAUGAGGACACAGAAAGACUAUCUGUUUGAUAGGCGCAAGGUGGAAGUACAGUAAUGUAUGGAGCUAAAGCGUACUAAUAGUCCCAUUGCCUUUUUAUGUCCUUGUCCGUGGAGUUUAUGCUUGCAUAAACAUUGCGGAUAAGGUAGACUUAACUAGUAAUUGGUGCUUUUCAAAAGUACCAGUCAAUUAAAAAUCAAUUCCGUGCUGAUGUUGGACAUCGAAGAAA